UGAUACGUAUUGCUGUACGUAUAAGGCGAUACGUAGAGCAAUAGCUUGACAGGUUUGGAAGUUUUGUUGAACUCCUCUGAUUUAACUUGGCUACAAUUUAAAACAAAUCACGAAUCUGUAUAUUUUUUAUCUCUGGAUUUUUGUCUUGUGUCAACAGGAAAUCCAACACAAACAGUUAAUUUUCAUAACUUUGACCUGUUUAACAAAUAAAAGUCCGAUUUUGAUCCA
Molecule: long non-coding RNA, 228 nt
Organism: Poecilia latipinna (sailfin molly)
Lineage: Eukaryota; Metazoa; Chordata; Actinopteri; Cyprinodontiformes; Poeciliidae
Exons: 2
Source: RefSeq, a predicted model, not a curated record